AUAUCAAUAAGCGGAGGAAAAGAAACCAACAGGGAUUACCUCAGUAACGGCGAGUGAAGCGGUAACAGCUCAAAUUUGAAAUCUGGCUCUUUCAGGGUCCGAGUUGUAAUUUGUAGAAGAUGCUUCGGGUGUGGCUCCGGUCUAAGUUCCUUGGAACAGGACGUCAUAGAGGGUGAGAAUCCCGUAUGUGACUGGUUGCCUUCGCCCAUGUGAAGCUCUUUCGACGAGUCGAGUUGUUUGGGAAUGCAGCUCUAAAUGGGUGGUAAAUUUCAUCUAAAGCUAAAUAUUGGCCAGAGACCGAUAGCGCACAAGUAGAGUGAUCGAAAGAUGAAAAGCACUUUGGAAAGAGAGUUAAACAGUACGUGAAAUUGUUGAAAGGGAAGCGCUUGCAACCAGACUUGCACGCCGUCGAUCAUCUCAGGUUCUCCUGGGUGCACUCGGCGGUGUUCAGGCCAGCAUCGGUUUCGGUGGUUGGAUAAAGGCCUUGGGAAUGUGGCUCCUCUCGGGGAGUGUUAUAGCCCUCGGUGCAAUGCAGCCUACUGGGACCGAGGACCGCGCUUCGGCUAGGAUGCUGGCGUAAUGGUUGUAAGCGACCCGUCUUGAAACACGGACCAAGGAGUCUAACAUCUAUGCGAGUGUUUGGGUGUUAAACCCAUACGCGUAAUGAAAGUGAACGGAGGUGAGAACCCUUUAGGGUGCAUCAUCGACCGAUCCUGAUGUCUUCGGAUGGAUUUGAGUAAGAGCAUAGCUGUUGGGACCCGAAAGAUGGUGAACUAUGCCUAAAUAGGGUGAAGCCAGAGGAAACUCUGGUGGAGGCUCGCAGCGGUUCUGACGUGCAAAUCGAUCGUCAAAUUUGGGUAUAGGGGCGAAAGACUAAUCGAACCAUCUAGUAGCUGGUUCCUGC
This 904-nucleotide ribosomal RNA is filed under the name Phaeohelotium epiphyllum. RNAcentral's name for it is "eukaryotic LSU rRNA". It matches the Rfam family "Eukaryotic large subunit ribosomal RNA", at positions 40 to 961 of the family's 3401-position model. Lineage: Eukaryota; Fungi; Ascomycota; Leotiomycetes; Helotiales; Helotiaceae. The record is from RNAcentral.